This 410-nucleotide ribosomal RNA is filed under the name uncultured bacterium. RNAcentral's name for it is "bacterial SSU rRNA". It matches the Rfam family "Bacterial small subunit ribosomal RNA", at positions 370 to 772 of the family's 1533-position model. The record is from RNAcentral.
AAUGGGCGCAAGCCUGAUCCAGCAAUGCCGCGUGGGUGAAGACGGCCUGCGGGUUGUAAAGCCCUUUAGGCGGGGAGGAACGGCGUCGUGCGAACAGUGCGGCGUUCUGACGUUACCCGCGGAAUAAGCACCGGCUAACUCCGUGCCAGCAGCCGCGGUAAUACGGAGGGUGCGAGCGUUAAUCGGAAUUACUGGGCGUAAAGCGUGCGUAGGCGGUUUGGUCAGUCAGCCGUGAAAGCCCCGGGCUUAACCUGGGAAUGGCGGUUGAGACGGCUGGACUUGAGUGGGCUAGAGGAUCGUGGAAUUCCGGGUGUAGCGGUGAAAUGCGUAGAGAUCCGGAGGAACACCGAUGGCGAAGGCAGCGGUCUGGGGCCACACUGACGCUGAGGCACGACAGCGUGGGGAGCAAA